CGGUGCUGAUGGCUCUUUCUGGCUCUUCUCCCCAACCCCUCUUUCUAAUAAAUCUUCUCACUUAAAAAAAAAAAAAAAAAAAAGACGGUGCUGAUGGAUGGGAAUGUGUAAAAUGACACUGGAGCUUUGAAGACUCUACCAACCAAAUCCGUGAAAUUUCAUUAUCAAAAUAAAGAUAAUAAGAGUAUAACUAAUUGGAGGCAAUGAGAUGGCUAGGUGGGGAAGGAUGCUUGCUACCCAGCCUGUCCACCCUACUCCAAUCUCCAGGGACUCACAAUUGUCCCCUGACCUUCACUUGUGUACAGGACACACUUAAUAAAUACAUGGUAAUUUUUUUUUAUUUUAAGAGUAUAAUUAGAUACUGAGCUGGUGACCAAUGAGGGAUUUUCCUACAGUAGCAAGCACACUUAUUAUAUAUAAAAAGUAAAUGAAGAGAAAAUUCGAUGUCUUAACUUUGAAUAUGUAACAAAUAUUACUCCAGUGCAGCAGUCCUCGACGCAGGUAAGUGGCUCAGCCAUGCAGCUGCUACAAAGCUGUGCAGAUGCGAUGUCACACAGAGUGGGCACAGCAGACAAACCUCAUUCUGGAAACAACGGGGCUAGCACAUCGUCUUGAAGUAUCCUGCACCGGAUGGCUUUCGGCUUCCAAUUGACAGCUUGAGAGCCCAAACGCCAUAUGACAGAUGAGAUUGCACGCUCUCCCCAGAGUUCUUCCAUUAUCAGACUCUAGCUCCACCUGUGGAGGACCUGAGGGAACUAUCAGUAUACACCACUGCUUUUGUUCCUGGGGAAAACUACAGUUCUUUUGGGGGUUCCUUAGUCUCAAUAAAAGAAUUUAGAAAUGGACUCAAACAUAAGGACAAUAGUAUUAGAGUUUAAGAGGAGAGCAGUACAGGUUAGUUGAAAACCUCAGAAGCUGCUAGGAAAUGGAGGAAAAAGUCAUGUCUUUUAAACUAGACAGGGAACAGAAUUAGUUUAUCAAGAAAGGGGAAAACUGGCCUGGCAAUGGUAGGUGAGCCUGGUCUACAAAGCUAAUUCUAGGACAGCUGUGCUACACAGAGAAACUCUGUCUCAAAAAUAAAAUAAAAUUUAAAAAAGGGAAAGAAAGAAAGGGGAAAACGGGGCUGAAGAGAUGGCUCAGCUGUCAACACUGCACCAGAGAACCCAGGUUUCAUAGUGACUUGCAACCUUCUCCAACUCCAGUUUCAGGGGAUCUGGCACCCUCUUCUGGUCUCUGUGGGUGUUGCAUGAACAUAGUGACUAGACAUUCUUCCAGGAAAAAUACCCAUACACAUAAUUUUUUUUUUUUAAAGAAAAAAACUGGGCUGGAGAGAUGGCUCAGCAGGUAAGAGCAUGGGCUACUCUUCCAAAGAUCCUGAGUUCAAUUCCCAGCAACCGCAUGGUGGCUUACAACCAUCUAUAAUGGGAUAUAAUCCCCUCUUCUGCCAUCAAGCAUAUAUGCAGAGCACUCAUGCCUAAAAAAAUACAUAAAUAAUAAAAUUUAAAAAAUAAUAAAAAGAAAGAAAGAAAAGCCACCCCCAAGAAUAGAAAUGGCCCAAUAAGCUGAGCAAAGAACCUAAAAAGUGUCUGGUGUGCGGGUGUAUGGUCUUUUACAGCCCACUCUUCCUGUUUGUCUUUCAGUGGCUUUAAGUGGCUUUGUUUUUCUCAUGCUCUGUUCAUGAUGCCAGAGUAAGGAAAGGCUUUGGGUCUUCCUCUACAAAUGGACUUCUUUCCCAUUUUAGUCUUGAUGUAGCUUUAGUUGUUGUCCUUUCUCUCCUGUCACAUUCUUGUGAGAACCCUUGACCCCAGUAUAUUUUUAACAUGCUGAGUCAGGACAAGAUCUGAGAGUGCCCAUUUGUCCCCUGGAUAGCUGUGCUGGACAGGGGCCCCUCGGCACAGUGGAGUGGCUUGCUGGAGGUACUUUGGUGCCUCAGAAUCCUUCCGGGGACUUCUGGCCAUCCUAAUCAUUGGAGUACUCCAGGCAGUGAGAGUACUGAAGCCCCUGGUUUCUUGGGGUCGUACUGUGAUACUUACACGCUGUUGGCUAGUCCAGCUGCUAGGACCUGGGUCCUGGUUUCCAUCUACUGAGUGAUAUACGCUUUAGUGCAUUAGUGUGGAAGUACUUGGCACGUUUGCUCCCAGUAUGAGGCCAGCAGUGGCCUGGCCCUCAGAUGUCGUGUCUCAGAGUGUAGCAAAGUGGUGACCCUUUACUCUAUUCUAGAAUCUGACUGAACUGUUCCAAAUCAGGGUUUUCUGACAUGAAGUAAUGACAUAAGCAGAAAUCUGCAGCUCAGGCUUCUGCACUUGCCUCAAGUUAGCACCCUGGACCAUUCUUGCAGCCACCAGCUCCAGCUUCACUUCUGUACGGUGAUUUUAUUUUCUCCUCCCACUGCCCAUUUGUCCUGGAGGUCUCCUUCCUUAUCAUCUCAGGUUCAUGGAGGGGUUGCAGUCUUCUCAGCUGCACGUGGAGUGCUCUUCCCAGCCACCAUCAGAGUACUACCACUUAGCGCUUACAUCUUAUCCACGAAACACCUUGUGUUUCAACAGUCAGGAGAGCGGGUCCCUUCCUGCAUUGUCUGACUCACUGGGGCUUUCCCCCUGUGCCUCCCUUGCAUGUUGUCAUUCAUCCAGAUUCUUAGCACAUGUGAACAAUGGAGGCCACUGUUUUGUAAAGAGACAAGUCUGUUGUGGCUGUGCUAUCACAAAGGACUGGCACAAUCCAUUGCUGGCAGCUAAGGCAGUUUGUUCUCUCUCUCUCUCUCUCUCUCUCUCUCUCUCUCUCUCUCUCUCUCUCUCUCCUCUUCUUCCUCUCCUCUCCUCUCCUCUCCUCUCUUCUCCUCUCCUCUCUCGCUCUCUCUCCUCUCAAAACUCAUGUUAUUCCAGGCAGUUAGUGGUACAUGCCUUUAAAUUCAGUACUGGGGAGGCAGAGGCAGGCAGAUCUCUGAGUUUCAGGCCAGCCAGAUAGGGUUCCAGGACAGCCAGAAGUAUACAGAGAAACCCUGUUGAAAAACAAAACAAAACAAAACAACAACAAAAUCUAUGUGUAUGGAUGUUUGCCUGCAUGUUUUUCUGUAUAUGGCUUACGUGCAGUGCCUAUGGGGGACCAGAAGAAGGCAUCAGAGUCCCUGGAACUGGAGUUACAGGGAGUUGUGAGCUGCUACAUUUAAGUGCUGAGAACUGAACUCAAGUCUUCAGGGAAAGCUGACAGUGCUCUUAAUCAAGCAGCUAUCCCUCCAGCCCCCUUUUCUUUUCUACUCCCUGAUGCUCCCCUGAUUCAGGAUAGUCCCUUCUCUCCCUUGUGCUGUGGUUGGCUCGUCUUCUAGUAGGACAGAGUAAAUCUAUUUUUGUUUCAGAGGUUCCAGUCUGUUAUGGCAGGGAGAGUGUGAUGGAACAGAAUGGCUUACCUUCCAGCAGCCAGGAACCAGCAAGAAAAUCCAUGAAUUUUUAAUGACACGGAGAGGCAAAUAAAGGAGCCAGGGAAAUGGCUCACCAAUAGUGACUUUAUUCUUCAGCAGCCGUGUAAAAAGCCAGAGAUAGUGGCUCUUGCUUGUUACACCAGCACUAAGGAAGCAGAGAAAGGCUGAUCUCUGGGGUUUGCUGGCUAGCUGGUGUCUGGUCUCACUGAGAAUAAGAGAUGGUGAGAUGGCCCAGCCAGCAAAAAUACUUGCUAAAUAAGCCUGAAGAACUGAGUUUAGUGCUUAAAACUCAUGGUGGAAGGAGAGAAGUGACUCCUAAAAAUCAUCCUAUGAUUGAUUCCCCUAGUUAAAAAUAAUCAGGGAGCUAGCUCCUAAAGGAGCCAGAGGUUGACCUCUGGCUACAUGAACACACGUGCUAGUGCACAUGAAACCACACCCACAUGAACACACACUCAUAUAUAUGUAAAUACACACACAAACACAGAGAAGUGAGUAAAAAUUGCCUGUGGUGACUAUAAUCCUAGGACUUGGGAGGCUGAGGCAAUAGAGGUGUGAGUCCAAGGCCAGCUGGGCUACAGCAUGAGAUACUGCCUCAAAACAUACACACAGAAGCUGGAGAGAUGGCUCAGUGGUUAAGAGCAAUGGCUGCUCUUCCAGAGGACCUGGGUUCAAAUCCUAGCACCCACGAAUGGCAGCUCACAGCUGUGUGUAACUCCAGUUCCAGGAGAUCUGAUGCCCUCUCUGGCCUCCAUGGGCACCAAGCAUGCAUAUGGUACACAGACAUAACGUGCCGGCAAAAUACUCACAUACACGAAAAUAACUAAAACACUUGUGGGAAAGAAAGAAAACAGUAAAUGGGGACAAGGCAAACUUCCAACCUUGCCUUUGAGUAAAAUGCCAAGUAGUAAACAUGGCAGAAACUAAACAGGAUGUUUACACAGACAUGUCUUUCACCAAUUAGUCAUCAUAAUGCAAAACCAGUAUGCUAUAAAGUCUUGGCUGAGCAGAACAAAUUAAAUCAAAGUGAUCAAUGUCAACAUCUUUUUCCAUAGGUCAAGCAGAGAUCAAAUGCCUCCCAAUAAGAUACACUGAGGACAGCAGGCAUCACUUCUUUGUGGCUGGGGUGUUAUGAAGUGACAGAGAGCUCUUGUGUAGCAUUCUUGAGGUCCUGGGUCUCAUCCUCAGGACCUAAAAAAAGGUACAUGGCCAAAUCUCAGGAGAAAACACUGGAUCAACUACAGAGAGUCCUGAAAAACUGAGGACUAAAGAAGACUAAAGGAGCAUGACAGCAAAAUGUGCAUGGUUCUAAAUUGUAUCCCGGACUGAGGAUUGCAGUAGAGUAGCUUUAAAGAACAGUAUCUGGACAGUUGGCAGCAUUUACAUAUGGAUGGUAGGUUAACUAUUAGUACAUAUUGUUUCAAGUGGAAUACAUAAGGAGUGUAGCUUUAUUUGGCACCCAAGUAGUUUUCCCAAUAGUAUCUUCAGUUCAUUCAGCAAGUGCUUAUUAAAGGGAUUGUUAGUGAGUGGGCCUGAGUAGAGAGUGAGCGUGAUGAAAGAAAUAGAAUCAUAGAUGAAAUACCUACAAUGCAAAAAUGAAAUGACAUGGACUUGAAAACAGGCUCAAAUAAAGGAAAAUUUAACCUGGAAUUCCUAGGCACUCACAGAUAGGCUUUCAUAUUCUGUUGAACAUGACAAUUUCACAGAAUAUUUACAUCCCUUUAUGUAGCCUGUUUGGGGGGGGAGGGACCACCAACAAUAAGGGUCACAGAAUUAGGAAGGUUGAGAACCACUGUCCUAAUCUAUUGACGUUUAUAGUUCUGAGAAAGUCCUUAAAUGUGGAUACCUCGAAACAGGAAUACAUGCCUGGCACUGUGGAACUGGUUAAAAGCUUUUGGUUAGGAAAGUCCAAGGUCCUCUGGGAGCAUCUACUAUUAAUGUUUUGCUAAAUGAAUGUGUAGUUAAAUUGUUCUCCCCCCCUCUCUCCUGUCUGCCUGUCUGUCUCUCUCUUUCCAUGUGUGUGUCUGUGUGCGUAUUCAUGCCCAUAUAUGAGUAUUAUAACAGGGCCUCAGACCUUAGUAGGCCCUAGUACAACUAACUUUAUGUCCGGCUGUAAAACUCAGCUUGUAGACAUCACCACCUGACAAAAAUGAAAACAAAGACCUAAUCCAUCAAAGUCCAUAGUUCUGGGAAAGUCUUUAAAUGUACUAACCUUGCUAUUUGGCUCUGGUAAUUCUGCUUCUGGCUAACUGUUCUUGUUAACUGAAGUAUGUUAACCCAGGGCUUGGUUUUGUGCAUAAAAGAUCACCUUGAGAAAGGCUUGGGACUACCCUGGGAUCCUGAACACCUAUUGGCUUAAACCCAUGUCUGAGCAGUCUUCUCUGUGAGCACCCCAUAACACUUCUGGAGGUCCUACCAAGAUUCCCAGAGACCAGACUGAAAUGCUGGGGGUUUCAUGAGGGCCUCUUGGAGUGAGGAAGAGUGUAGUGUCCAGGGGACUCUAAGGGAGCAAACAACCUGCGAUGUUCCAGGCCCCCAAGGCUCCCUCUGCUCAGUUGCUGCCUAGUGCUUCAGAGGGGUGCUUCCUCCACCCCAAAGGAAACUAAUUAGAAAGUCACCUGGUCUCUCACCUCUGGAGGUAAGUCUGGCUAAAGAGCCUUCUGUUUGAACACACAGGAGAGGUCGGCGAGGAAUCAGAUCCAGUGUCCAGUGUCUCGGAUGUGGCUUAUGUGUGGGUUUACAAGGGCCUUUUUAGAGGUUUAGUCAAUUAUCUUCAUGGCAGGAAACAUGGUGGCAUGCAGGCAGACAUGAUGCUGGAGAAGGAGCUGAGAGUUCUACAUUUUGAUCCACAGGCAGCAGAAGGAGUCUGAGUCCCACUGGCCAGACCUGAGUUUGUUAGACCCCCGAAAACUCAAGUAUCCGGGGUCUCAGGCCAGGUUCGCGGUCACCCCAAUCACCAGGCGGAUUCGAGAGCUUGCUGCAAACUGCACGAGGCUUUAUUGUAAUUUAACGAACUAACCCCAUGUUAGCUCGGGUCUUUCACCCACCCGCCAUGGCGGACGGCUAGAAAAGAUGGCUCCU
Molecule: long non-coding RNA, 6493 nt
Filed under: Cricetulus griseus (Chinese hamster)
Lineage: Eukaryota; Metazoa; Chordata; Mammalia; Rodentia; Cricetidae
Description: lncRNA (ENSCGRG00015038175.1)
Source: RNAcentral